Molecule: ribosomal RNA, 544 nt
Filed under: uncultured bacterium
Lineage: Bacteria
Description: bacterial SSU rRNA
Rfam family: Bacterial small subunit ribosomal RNA
Source: RNAcentral
GGGGAAUAUUGCACAAUGGGCGCAAGCCUGAUGCAGCGACGCCGCGUGAGGGAUGGAGGCCUUCGGGUUGUAAACCUCUUUCGCCAGUGAAGCAGGCCUGCUCCUUGUGGGUGGGUUGACGGUAGCUGGAUAAGAAGCGCCGGCUAACUACGUGCCAGCAGCCGCGGUAAUACGUAGGGCGCGAGCGUUGUCCGGAAUUAUUGGGCGUAAAGAGCUCGUAGGCGGCUGGUCGCGUCUGUCGUGAAAUCCUCUGGCUUAACUGGGGGCUUGCGGUGGGUACGGGCCGGCUUGAGUGCGGUAGGGGAGACUGGAACUCCUGGUGUAGCGGUGGAAUGCGCAGAUAUCAGGAAGAACACCGGUGGCGAAGGCGGGUCUCUGGGCCGUUACUGACGCUGAGGAGCGAAAGCGUGGGGAGCGAACAGGAUUAGAUACCCUGGUAGUCCACGCUGUAAACGUUGGGCACUAGGUGUGGGGGCCACCCGUGGUUUCUGCGCCGUAGCUAACGCUUUAAGUGCCCCGCCUGGGGAGUACGGCCGCAAGGCUA